AGUGAACGCUGGCGGUAGGCCUAACACAUGCAAGUCGAACGGCAGCACAGUAAGAGCUUGCUCUUACGGGUGGCGAGUGGCGAACGGGUGAGGAAUACAUCGGAAUCUACUUUUUCGUGGGGGAUAACGUAGGGAAACUUACGCUAAUACCGCAUACGACCUACGGGUGAAAGCAGGGGAUCUUCGGACCUUGCGCGAUUGAAUGAGCCGAUGUCGGAUUAGCUAGUUGGCGGGGUAAAGGCCCACCAAGGCGACGAUCCGUAGCUGGUCUGAGAGGAUGAUCAGCCACACUGGAACUGAGACACGGUCCAGACUCCUACGGGAGGCAGCAGUGGGGAAUAUUGGGCAAUGGGCGCAAGCCUGAUCCAGCCAUACCGCGUGGGUGAAGAAGGCCUUCGGGUUGUAAAGCCCUUUUGUUGGGAAAGAAAAGCAGCAGGUUAAUACCCCGCUGUUCUGACGGUACCCAAAGAAUAAGCACCGGCUAACUUCGUG
Molecule: ribosomal RNA, 492 nt
Filed under: uncultured bacterium
Lineage: Bacteria
Description: partial 16S ribosomal RNA
Rfam family: Bacterial small subunit ribosomal RNA
Source: RNAcentral